Molecule: ribosomal RNA, 797 nt
Filed under: uncultured bacterium
Lineage: Bacteria
Description: bacterial SSU rRNA
Rfam family: Bacterial small subunit ribosomal RNA
Source: RNAcentral
CGGGUGAGUAACGCGUGGGCAACCUGCCCCAUACCGGGGGAUAACAGCCGGAAACGGCUGCUAAAACCGCAUACGAUGCAGAAGUCGCAUGACUACUGCAUGAAAUAUUCAUAGGUAUGGGAUGGGCCCGCGUCUGAUUAGCUAGUUGGUGAGGUAACGGCUCACCAAGGCGACGAUCAGUAGCCGGCUUGAGAGAGUGACCGGCCACAUUGGGACUGAGACACGGCCCAAACUCCUACGGGAGGCAGCAGUGGGGAAUAUUGCACAAUGGGGGAAACCCUGAUGCAGCGACGCCGCGUGAGUGAAGAAGUAUUUCGGUAUGUAAAGCUCUAUCAGCAGGGAAGAAGAAAGACGGUACCUGACUAAGAAGCCCCGGCUAACUACGUGCCAGCAGCCGCGGUAAUACGUAGGGGGCAAGCGUUAUCCGGAUUUACUGGGUGUAAAGGGAGCGUAGGUGGUGUGGUAAGUCAGAUGUGAAAGCCCGAGGCUCAACCACGGGACUGCAUUUGAAACUAUCAUGCUAGAGUACAGGAGAGGUAAGUGGAAUUCCUAGUGUAGCGGUGAAAUGCGUAGAUAUUAGGAGGAACACCAGUGGCGAAGGCGGCUUACUGGACUGUAACUGACACUGAGGCUCGAAAGCGUGGGGAGCAAACAGGAUUAGAUACCCUGGUAGUCCACGCUGUAAACGAUGAAUACUAGGUGUCGGGGGUCAGAAGACCUUCGGUGCCGCAGCAAACGCAAUAAGUAUUCCACCUGGGGAGUACGUUCGCAAGAAUGAAACUCAAAUGAAUUGACGG